UAAUACGGGGGGGGGCCAGCGUUGUUCGGAAUUACUGGGCGUAAAGGGCGCGUAGGCGGCCUUCUAAGUCGGACGUGAAAUCCCUCGGCUCAACCGGGGAACUGCGUCCGAUACUGGAGGGCUUGAAUCCGGGAGAGGGAUGCGGAAUUCCAGGUGUAGCGGUGAAAUGCGUAGAUAUCUGGAGGAACACCGGUGGCGAAGGCGGCAUCCUGGACCGGCAUUGACGCUGAGGCGCGAAAGCCAGGGGAGCAAACGGG
RNAcentral lists this ribosomal RNA (257 nucleotides) under uncultured archaeon. Its description in RNAcentral is "partial 16S ribosomal RNA". It matches the Rfam family "Bacterial small subunit ribosomal RNA", at positions 521 to 776 of the family's 1533-position model. The record is from RNAcentral.